CCUUUAUGUGUCCCUUCGGAAAGGAAGCAAUUGUUCAUGAAAAGAGACAGUUUUCUAAAACGUCAGAUACCUGCGCCCGAUCCGUGCUGGACCUGCGGCCGCAAGUAGCACUUUUCCCAUUUCAGUAUCUCCUGCACUAGACCUACACCAGGCAACGAUAGCCUGCGCCAUGUCUGCGCCUGACCUGUGUACACAGGUCGCUUCUUUUUCAAAAUAGUGUGUCUCUUCAUCGAAGGGCCGUAUCCUUUCAAGGUGCAUUGUGUAUACAUUUACAUUGCGUUCGAAAUGCGUCCGCACAUGGAGAAAACAUUUUCAUAGGAUUUUUAGAUUAAACUUUCACUUGUUUUCCUAGUUUCAAAUAAAUUUUGUCCAAAAAAUUAAUCUCUCGAUCAAUCAUUUGACAAAUUCAAAUUCAAACUCGAAGCCGAGGAGCGAUGACAAUACAAGGCAUCUCUUUGUUCUUGCCUCACUAUCCACAUGGAGUGUUUCUUAAUAUAAAUACUAGAAAGUUUC
RNAcentral lists this long non-coding RNA (513 nucleotides) under Capsicum annuum. RNAcentral's name for it is "long non-coding RNA (CANN_LNC001979)". Lineage: Eukaryota; Viridiplantae; Streptophyta; Magnoliopsida; Solanales; Solanaceae. The record is from RNAcentral.